UUAAGCGACUAAGCGUACACGGUGGAUGCCCUGGCAGUCAGAGGCGAUGAAGGACGUGCUAAUCUGCGAUAAGCGUCGGUGAGGUGAUAUGAACCGUUAUAACCGGCGAUUUCCGAAUGGGGAAACCCAGUGUGUUUCGACACACUAUCAUUAACUGAAUCCAUAGGUUAAUGAGGCGAACCGGGGGAACUGAAACAUCUAAGUACCCCGAGGAAAAGAAAUCAACCGAGAUUCCCCCAGUAGCGGCGAGCGAACGGGGAGGAGCCCAGAGCCUGAAUCAGUGUGUGUGUUAGUGGAAGCGUCUGGAAAGGCGCGCGAUACAGGGUGACAGCCCCGUACACAAAAAUGCACACAUUGUGAGCUCGAUGAGUAGGGCGGGACACGUGGUAUCCUGUCUGAAUAUGGGGGGACCAUCCUCCAAGGCUAAAUACUCCUGACUGACCGAUAGUGAACCAGUACCGUGAGGGAAAGGCGAAAAGAACCCCGGCGAGGGGAGUGAAAAAGAACCUGAAACCGUGUACGUACAAGCAGUGGGAGCCUCUUAAUGGGGUGACUGCGUACCUUUUGUAUAAUGGGUCAGCGACUUAUAUUCUGUAGCAAGGUUAACCGAAUAGGGGAGCCGAAGGGAAACCGAGUCUUAACUGGGCGUUAAGUUGCAGGGUAUAGACCCGAAACCCGGUGAUCUAGCCAUGGGCAGGUUGAAGGUUGGGUAACACUAACUGGAGGACCGAACCGACUAAUGUUGAAAAAUUAGCGGAUGACUUGUGGCUGGGGGUGAAAGGCCAAUCAAACCGGGAGAUAGCUGGUUCUCCCCGAAAGCUAUUUAGGUAGCGCCUCGUGAAUUCAUCUCCGGGGGUAGAGCACUGUUUCGGCAAGGGGGUCAUCCCGACUUACCAACCCGAUGCAAACUGCGAAUACCGGAGAAUGUUAUCACGGGAGACACACGGCGGGUGCUAACGUCCGUCGUGAAGAGGGAAACAACCCAGACCGCCAGCUAAGGUCCCAAAGUCAUGGUUAAGUGGGAAACGAUGUGGGAAGGCCCAGACAGCCAGGAUGUUGGCUUAGAAGCAGCCAUCAUUUAAAGAAAGCGUAAUAGCUCACUGGUCGAGUCGGCCUGCGCGGAAGAUGUAACGGGGCUAAACCAUGCACCGAAGCUGCGGCAGCGACGCUUAUGCGUUGUUGGGUAGGGGAGCGUUCUGUAAGCCUGUGAAGGUGGCCUGUGAGGGUUGCUGGAGGUAUCAGAAGUGCGAAUGCUGACAUAAGUAACGAUAAAGCGGGUGAAAAGCCCGCUCGCCGGAAGACCAAGGGUUCCUGUCCAACGUUAAUCGGGGCAGGGUGAGUCGACCCCUAAGGCGAGGCCGAAAGGCGUAGUCGAUGGGAAACAGGUUAAUAUUCCUGUACUUGGUGUUACUGCGAAGGGGGGACGGAGAAGGCUAUGUUGGCCGGGCGACGGUUGUCCCGGUUUAAGCGUGUAGGCUGGUUUUCCAGGCAAAUCCGGAAAACCAAGGCUGAGGCGUGAUGACGAGGCACUACGGUGCUGAAGCGACAAAUGCCCUGCUUCCAGGAAAAGCCUCUAAGCAUCAGGUAACAUCAAAUCGUACCCCAAACCGACACAGGUGGUCAGGUAGAGAAUACCAAGGCGCUUGAGAGAACUCGGGUGAAGGAACUAGGCAAAAUGGUGCCGUAACUUCGGGAGAAGGCACGCUGAUAUGUAGGUGAAGCGACUUGCUCGUGGAGCUGAAAUCAGUCGAAGAUACCAGCUGGCUGCAACUGUUUAUUAAAAACACAGCACUGUGCAAACACGAAAGUGGACGUAUACGGUGUGACGCCUGCCCGGUGCCGGAAGGUUAAUUGAUGGGGUUAGCGGCAACGCGAAGCUCUUGAUCGAAGCCCCGGUAAACGGCGGCCGUAACUAUAACGGUCCUAAGGUAGCGAAAUUCCUUGUCGGGUAAGUUCCGACCUGCACGAAUGGCGUAAUGAUGGCCAGGCUGUCUCCACCCGAGACUCAGUGAAAUUGAACUCGCUGUGAAGAUGCAGUGUACCCGCGGCAAGACGGAAAGACCCCGUGAACCUUUACUAUAGCUUGACACUGAACAUUGAGCCUUGAUGUGUAGGAUAGGUGGGAGGCUUUGAAGUGUGGACGCCAGUCUGCAUGGAGCCG
Molecule: ribosomal RNA, 2161 nt
Filed under: Escherichia coli KTE46
Lineage: Bacteria; Pseudomonadati; Pseudomonadota; Gammaproteobacteria; Enterobacterales; Enterobacteriaceae
Description: bacterial LSU rRNA
Rfam family: Bacterial large subunit ribosomal RNA
Source: RNAcentral